GUGAUUUUGGCCGUGAUAUAUAAUAUAUAGAUAUCUAUAGCCUAUAUUAUAUAUCUUAUAUUAUUAUAUACUCAGGCGAACAUGCAUAACAUAAUCAUUUGAACCACCGUUCAAAUGGCAGUCUGAGCCAUCAUAACAACAAUAUUUGUGUCAGUAAUGUUGAUGAGAUGUUGUGUUUUGCAACUUGUUACAGGCCGUUGGCGGUGUGGUGGACCAGCCUUCUACCUCCAGCAUAUCCUUGGUCCUCACCAGUCCACAGCCACGGCCUCACCAAUCCAAUAAAUCCCCAAGGAAGUCCUUAUCUGGCAGUUACCUUGCUUUCCCUGUGAUCAGGGAGAGGCUCUCACUAUCUCCAGAUGAUUGUGAAACUGAGAUGCUUCAAAUGGACACAAGCAUUUCCUCAGUCAUUGAGGAUGACCCAAAAGACAUGAGCUUCAGCCUUAGUCAACAGUCAAGUUCAAGUGAAACCUCCAGUUCAAGUGCCUCAGAAGAGCAAGGGGAGUGGGAUGAAAGAAAAUGGAUUGUGAACGAGUCUAGCAUCAUGCAACUGUUUAGAACAUGCCAUAUAUGUGCCGCACAAAUCACGGAUAAAAAAGUGACAACUACAGGCAGCCAACUAAAGAUUGAAUGGACAUGUUUGAAUAAUCAUCAUGGCAAGUGGGCAUCAUGUCCUGAUGCAAGAGGAAUGGCACAGAAUAACUUGCUUGUUUCUGCUGCUACGCUUUUCUCUGGAACAACUUUCACUGAAGUACACGAGUGGGCCAGCAUCCUAAACUUGCAACUCUUGAAGAAAUCGCAGUACUACUCCAUCCAAUCCGACUACCUUAUUCCAGUAGUACACUUUGCAUACAAAGAUCAUCAUGAGAAUCUCAUCAGGCGACGUAUUAGACAAAAGGCUGAAGGCGAGUCCAUAGAGCUGUGUGGAGAUGCCAGGUCUGACUCACCAGGCUACAGCUGCAAGUAUUCCACCUAUUCGUUUCAGCUUCUAUCCAGUAAUGAGAUCAUUCACUUUCAACUACUACAGGUAAAACUAAAAUGCUGCUUGUCCGAUUUGUGAAACUAUACUCUGGGUGACAGAGUAUAGAUAAAGCAUUAUUCAGUGGGUGUAUUGUAUUUGUUUUUUU
Long non-coding RNA from Gadus macrocephalus (Pacific cod), 1124 nucleotides. RefSeq lists it as uncharacterized. The record is from RefSeq and is a predicted model, not a curated record. The transcript is spliced from 3 exons. Lineage: Eukaryota; Metazoa; Chordata; Actinopteri; Gadiformes; Gadidae.